RNA transcript from Tarenaya hassleriana, 2503 nucleotides. It is a transcript of the gene named PRA1 family protein B5, with no coding region annotated. The transcript has 5 exons. NCBI's taxonomy places the organism in Eukaryota, Viridiplantae, Streptophyta, Magnoliopsida, Brassicales, Cleomaceae. The record is from RefSeq and is a predicted model, not a curated record.
UCCCCUCUCUUUCUCCUCUUCACGCUAUACUCUCUCUCCUUCCAUAUAUCUCCCGAUCCUUUCUUCAUCCAGAGAGAGAGAGAGAGAGAGAGAGCGCAUGGCGUCGAAGGCUCAUCCGGUGCUUCCGAUCUAUACGGGCGCCACCGCAUCGACUCGUCCUCCCGCCGUCUCCACCACGGAAUCCCAACCUCAGUCGACUCUCGCCGUCGUUAGCCGCGUCGCUGAGUCAAUCCGUAGUGGCCUCUCCCGCCGGCGCCCGUGGACUGAGCUCGUCGACCGAUCCGCCUUCGCCAGGCCGGAGUCUCUAUCCGAUGCGGCGAAUCGGUUCCGGAAGAACUAUUCCUAUUUCAGGGUGAAUUACGCCUGCGUCGUCGCUUUGACUGUUGCUUUCUCUCUCUUCAACCAUCCUUUCUCUCUCUUCGUCCUCCUCUUCAUCGUCGCUUCCUGGAUGUUCCUCUAUCUCUUUCGCCCCUCCGAUCAGCCUCUCGUCCUGUUCGGCCGAACAUUCUCCGAGCGAGAGACUCUCGGUGGGCUUAUCCUCACGAGCAUCUUCCUGAUCUUCCUCACCAGCGUCGGAUCCGUGCUGAUAUCAGCUGUGAUGGUGGGAGUAGCAGCGGUCUGCGUCCAUGGCGCAUUUAGGGUUACGGAUGAUCUCUUCCUGGAAGAACAAGAUCCCGCAGCCAUGGGGUUCCUCUCCCUCCUUGGCGCCGGCGCAACCCCCGCUUAUCCGGCGCGUUCCGUCAUAUAAAACAGCUACGAUCUCUGAGGUUAUUGCAAUGUAGAGUGCCCGUGAAGGAAGGAAUUAGAUGGCACUGCCAUCAGAUUCAUCGCUAGUAAUUUUACUACUUUUGGUCAUCCCUCUGAGCGUCGCUUUCGUUUCUCGCCAUGGACAAUCUUCCUCUCGAUAGAAUCGCCAUAUCAGGUCCCACAUUGGCCCCUCUGCUCCAAUCUCUCCGACGACUCGCCGGCGGAACCGUUCUCGUCGAGUUCCUCCUCCGCCAUUUCGUCCUCUCAACUUGUCGCCACCGCCACCAGCUUUCUAUGCUCAGACAUGAGCGUCUCCUCUCCUUCUAUGAUCCGCUUGGCCGAGUCGACCGCCGCCGGAUCACCUGCUCGGCUGGUUUUCAUCGCGCCGGAAAACCGCUAAUCGACCCUCGAUGCGAGAAUUCGGCGUCGCAUCAUCUCUCUCAUCUCAAUUUUCCCUCCCGAUCGAGGAUUCCCAAAACCCUAAGACCACGAACUUGGCCUCGUGCGUGUUUUUCCUUUUCACCACGCCAUCGGCGCACCAAUUCAUCCACACGCACGAGUACCGGACGUACCAAUUGCGCUCCUCUAACCAGCGAUUGGAGUCGAAAUCGGUCAAUAUAGUCAAACAUCGGACCAGGGUUCCGUGGACAUUACGGUACGUUUGGCCCAAAUUCGGCAUUUCCGCUUUUGAACCGCGAACUGAGGAGCUUGCCCAUGAGCGAGGACCAAGACGAGGGGACCUUGAGCGCGAAGGAGCACGCGGCUAAGGAUCAGAAGGAAAUCAAUGCAUUAGCAGAAGGGUUUCAGGUGGGAAAUCUACGUCGUCUGAUGGGAGCCGAAGCUGCGAACUACACCGUCGGAUUGGAAGAAUUGUACGAAAGGAUGCUCAUCAAGAUGGAGAGCGUAGCUUGACAUGUUGAGAAGAGAUCGGCCAGGGUAUUUGAACAGGAAAAUCAAAAUAGGAAGUUGAGAUACAGGGUCGCCAGAAUGGAGCAAUGAAUUUCCUUUGGUUUGAUUUUUUUUGUGGUGUCAGGUGAUUUUUAUUGUCAUCUAGCAUUUAGUUGAAUGAAAUAGACAUGUGCGGAGGGUUUGUAUGGGUGCUGAGCGAUAGGGAAGUAAGACUUGAGCAGAAUUAUGGAGUGGGGAAUGUUAACCAGGGAGGAGAGGUGUUAGACUUGGUCAAGUAGAUAUGGCAUGGUUUGGUUUGGUUUAAGAAGAAGGAAGGUUAUUGUCCAUGGAACACUUUGAGAUUCAAAUGGGUUAACAUUACUAGACUAUCGAUACAGAGUUCUGUCCUGUUUAGUUAUCCAAUAGACCAAACUGAAGCUGACAUCUUAUCCCAGGAGUAGGGGUUGGUUGGAACGAUUCAUUGCAUCUAUUCUUCUACUAUAAGAUGUUGGUUCGUGGUAUGAUAGAAGAAGAUAGUUGGUUCUCACUAACGUUUUCUGCUGCAUUAGCAUAUAGAAAUCCUGAAGACCAAGAAUGAUCCAAGUGCAGAAAGGAAGAUGGUGAAUAAUAAGCGAUGGCUUUGAAUGACGGAUGGGAGCCCGGCCACCUCUUUUCAGUUUUCAGUGCCUACACCACAGUCGGUUGUUUCUGUGUGGAAGAUAAAAGAAGAGCUGUCUGAAUUUUUUAUGUAUUGGUCUCUGUUGGAUGAUGCGAGCGCCGAGACGUGAGACACUAAUCUCGAUGUUAGACAAGUAAUGUAUGCCUUGCUCCACAAGCUCAUUCUCGAAUGAAUUCCAAUUACUCGUAA